RNAcentral lists this non-coding RNA (161 nucleotides) under unclassified sequences. Its description in RNAcentral is "Clostridiales-1 RNA". It matches the Rfam family "Clostridiales-1 RNA". The record is from RNAcentral. RNAcentral also lists the same sequence under 1 other name.
CAGAUGAAGCUCACCCAUAGAAAGCAUGAGCGACUGCUUGCAGGCGGCGAAGGCUUUCUAUGAGGGGAGCAAACGAACAUGAGCAAGAAGGACGAUAGUCCGGAUUGCGAAUGGUCGUUACGAUUUCGAGAGUGCGUAGCACGGAGAAAUCGAUUAAGAUA